RNAcentral lists this unclassified non-coding RNA (5609 nucleotides) under Leishmania donovani. RNAcentral's name for it is "gene:LdHU3.32.1800(CDS-product:G5-interacting_pro tein_putative)". Lineage: Eukaryota; Euglenozoa; Kinetoplastea; Trypanosomatida; Trypanosomatidae. The record is from RNAcentral.
GUUUCUUUUUUUUUUGUUUGUUUUUCCCCAAAGCGCUCCUUCCACGAAGCGAAAAGAGAGAAUACAAGAAAAGCGUCUCGCGCGAACGCACAUACUCACAAACGCGGUGGUGCAUCAUCCUCUGCUCUUCUCUCACACACCCACCCCUCCCCCCUACUUCCUCUCGCCGAGGAAAAAAAGAAGGACUGCAAACAGAUCCUUUGAAGGAGUUGCUGUUGACAUCACAAGAGAAGAAGUGGGUACGUGUCAAGAGUGAGGGCGUUCGUUGACUCACCUUGCUAGUCUUCUGUUCUCUCUUUCCGGCCUCCGCGUCUUCUGUUAGGUGUUUCUCGGCGAACUGCCGUUGUCGAUCGCGCAGACGCACGGAAGUGACACACACGCAUACACGUUCACAAGACCAAAAAAAAAGAAACAAAUAGAAAAAGGAACGAUUGCCGUGCACUGCGGGUAGUUGGUCUUAUCUGUUUGAUUUUUCUUUUGUUUCUGAUCUUGGUUCUCCAUCGGAGUCCUUUCGGGGUGUCCUCAUUGUCAUCAUCGUGGUGAAUCCCGCGGGCUCUGUGAUAGGGAUUGUGUACCACAUCGUGUGGGAGUUUUUUUUUUGUUCGUUUACGCUCUGCUUGUGUGUGUGUGUGUGUGCAAAGCCGAAGUGCUCGCUCUUUUUCUUUCUUCGGUUGUACUUUUUUUUUGCGCUGGGUUGUCCAAAUUUCCAUUUCGGUGAUUGCUGCUGUUGUUGUCCCUUCCUCUUUUUUUUCUUUCAGACCGGUUCACGGUUCCAGCAGAAAGAGCAGACGUCCGCCGCCUUGACGGCAUCUUCACACGGCGCUGGGCUUCGCUGGAGAUUCUAGUUCUCUCUCUCUGUCACCCUGAACCUUUCCCUCCCCCGCUGGGCGAUUGCGCCGUCAUUUCAACAUAGAUCAUAGCCUGUAACAGUUGUGCGAGCCGGGGCUUGUGUUUGUGUAUGUGCGUGGGAGUCUGUGCCUGUCUGUCUAUCGGUGUGUAUGUGUGUAAGUGACCGCCUGCGAGCAAGGGCCCUUUUUUCUUCUUCCGGCGCUGUAACGCACACGCAUUACUUACACGAGGAUAGAGAACCACAAAAGACAAACUUGUGUUUCUUGGCUUUCUUUUCCUUUCGCUUCUUCUCUGCACUCUCCUUAUCCCCUUCCACUUCCAUACGCUUCCCUUUUGUACUACACCGUAUCAGGUCUGUCUCUCCUUCUCUCUCUCUGGCCACAGUAUCCUUGGGGCUGUUUGUUGCUCUUCCUUGUGUGGGUGUGUGCGGCCGCCGUCGUGCUUGGUGAUCUGUCCUCCCGUCUUCUCUCCUUUUCGUUCCUUUUCCGUUGUUUUUGGUCGCCCUUUGUUUUUUGUUGUUGUGCCGCGAACGCGUCGGCACUGGGGCCUGUGUGCGCCUUGUGGACGCUCUCGGCUGUCUCAUUUCUUCCCCCUUUUUUCCCCAAGUGCGAGCGGCACUCUCCCCCUUCUGCACUGCGCCGCACGUUCAGUCCACGAUCCCUCGCACCGUGUCAUCCCCACCGUCUCUCUGUAGCGCCGUCUUCUUCUGACCCUGCCCUUCUCCUGCCUGCCCAUAGGCUAUCACAGGGGAGUAUUCAGCGACGCCGGUGUCUUUCACACGCACCGACGAGCAGUCCAACAACUGAUAUACAUCCAAGCGCGAACACCGCGCACCUUUUAUAAGCGCACAUCUGUUUCUUCCCUUCAGCGACCAUGUCGAAUCUGAACCCCAACGCGCCAUCGUUCCCGGUAUCCAACUACCAGCCGAACACGACGCACAACAAGCAAGGCUACAACAACGGCGGUGGCCCAAGCGGCGGCGGCGGCGGCACGAUGCAGAACGAGCGUUAUGGCGGAGGGAUGAUGUACGACAACAGCAACUACCACCAGGGCGGCGGUGGUGGCUACGGUCCUGGCGGUGGCAAUCCUGGCGGCGGCUACGGGCAAGGCGGCGGCUACAUGGGCAAUGGUCCACAGCAAGGGUACCCGUCGGGUCCUCGCAUGGGUCGCAACCAUCGCCAACCGAAUAUGCCACAUAGCCAGUACCAAAACCUAAACGGCAUGGUAGGCGGCAGCGGCGGCGGUGGUGGCGGUGGCGGCAUGCUCGGCAACUACUGCGGAAUGCCUGCCCCGUAUCAGCAAGUAGGCGGGAUGGACUUGAACGGCGGCUAUGACCAGCAGCCACCACAGCAGCAGAUGCCGAUGCAACCUCGGAUGCACAACAUGCCGCCGAACGCGAUGGGCAUGAACAAUAACAUGAUGGGUGGUGGCGGUCGCAUGCCGUACAACAGUAACCAACGUAACCCAAUGCCGAACAUGCAUCCGAACAUGAAUCCGCAGGCCAGCAUGGGACUUGGCAGCGUCAGCGCUCAGCCGCCGCCAACCAUGGCACCACCAGCUCCAGUGUCGCGGCCCCUUUCCGUGCCUCCGGCAGCUGUAGCCCCGUCUUACAUCACGAAGAACACGCCACGCGCCGUGAUGGUGGUCGGCUACAAGAAGACCGGCAAGACAAGCGUGGCUCAGGCGAUUGCGAAAAGGGAGGGAUUUCAGUACGUGUGUCUUAAGUCGCCACUGCAGCAAUCUGCCGCCCAAGCAGCAGGCGGUGAGAAAGCCGAGGAGGCCGAGGAAGCCGAAGAAGAGGAUAUAAGCCCGCUGGAACGACUGGCGCCACUGCGUGCGGCGCUGGAGAAGAAAUCGGCAAUGAAGGGGUUGGUCAUCGAUGAUGCCUUCUCGACCAACAAGUUCCAAGCUCACUACGUGGUGCACUACCUCGUCAAGGCGGGUCUGCAGCUGGACGCGGUUGUGGCCCUCGUGCCAGAGCUGGCGUCGCUGGUCGAGCGUGGGGUAAGCUUCGCGAAGUCGCACGCCAAGACGAUGCACCCGGAAGCGUUCGAGUUUGCCUCGAGCCUCGACCCCGAUAGGGUCAUUGUUAUGGAUGAGGACUUGAAGUUGGAAGAACUCGCGGAGAAGGCAGCAGCUGAGGUGUCGGUGCUGCUGAAAAAGAACGACGCAGCGAUCAAGCUGGAGCAGGAGUACUUCAUUCCCAGCUGCCCCAUGGUGACCGACGCGGAGCUGGUGGAGCAGAUUUUAGAGGCGGAGCGUAGCGCGGUGAAGCGCCCGCUGCCGUACACAUUCACGUACUCGGAGCCGAACUACGUGCUUGACUACGUGCAGUUUGUGCAGUCGGCUGCAAAACUGCAGCACUACCUCGUCACACCGUGGAUCUGGGGAGAUAAGCUUUCGCUGAUUGGUUACGACACGAGCGUCUACGUCCACCUAACAUCCUACAACCUUUUGUUCAAGUUGAACGACGUGCCAGCGGCGAUGCAGGAGCUCCUCAAGAAGCUCAAGAGCGAGGCGGAGGCAUCAGGGGCGGAGGAUCCGGCGUCGCAGGUGCUGUUCUGUGUCGAGGCGUCCAUGCUGGACGAUGUCAUCUACAUCUCUGACAUGAUGAUCAUCGGCAAGCAGCAUGGUUCGGAGAUGCUGCUGCACGAUCGUGUGAAGCUGUUGUCCGAUUCAUUCGGCAAGCUGCCAAGCAACAGCUCGGUGCGGUUGCUGGAGCACUACCCCGUCUGCGACAUCAAGGCAUGCCUAGAAGCUUACAAGGGCGUCAGCCGCGGUGCGAUUUUUGUCAACCCUGACGGGAUCGAGUACGGCCGCUACGACGUGCGCAACUUUGUGUACCCGUCGGAAACCAAGAGGACGGUGCGGCUGCGCAUUUGGGCCGGUAGCAUGACCGACGGCAUGUGGAGCUUCGACGGCUACGUGCGCGAGUACGAGGACGAGGUGUUAGCGACAAGCCGCACCACCGGCGCGAACAACCUCCCGGUCAUGAUUAGUGACGCAAACGUUGACACGCACAUGAUCAACGACGGCAACAUCGUCGAGUGUGUGAUGGAGAAGACGGCCACCAAAGGCAAGUCGCGCGAUAAGAAUGCGGUGCUGACAUUUUGCCGCCGCUGUAAGUGGGAAGUGACACCCAUCACUCAAUUUUACAUGUGGGCGUUCGCGGAUCCGCCGCAGUGGUCCACGGAGUCCUUCCUGGACGCCUGCUCCACCAUCGCCUCAGUGCGGCCGACCGUGUAGAGAGAGUGAGACACAGCUUCCAUCCCUUCCGCCACAAACCCGACGUGUCUCUCGCCGCCACCCUCGCCUCCUCCGCCAACUCCCACCACACACACACACACGCACACGUGAACUGCUGUGUUCGCCUCCGCGUAAGGAAAGUUCGUGUGCGAGAGGGGUGCAACGUCCUUACUUUCCUCUCGCACCCAACGUGAAAACGGGACAUGCUCAACUGAAUGAGGGAAAAGGGAUAGCGACGCCUCUCUCCUAGCCGGCCCACUCAGGUGUUGCGGGUGAAGUGCGUGUAGUCGCACUUCUUUUUUUUUUUGGGAGUUGACGGAUUAAAAUGCGGUGAGAGAGAGAUGCGCAUACAGCACAUGCAAGCGAUUCGGCAGUAGUGGGGGGGGUGCAUCGGCGGGUGGGGUCGGGAAGAGGGGGGCUCGUGCCCAAAUACCCCGCAUACAUGUAGGGGGGCACAAGUAGAAAAAAAAUUGUGUGGGGUGGGGUGUUGUGUAGAUAGUCGGAAAGACAGAGUGGCAGAGAGACGCGCACACCGGCGGGACGUUUUUAUUGUUGUGAAUGACUAGCGAACUCCCUGAGCGGCGUUGACACGAAGGGCAACAAAGGGAAGGAGAGGAAGCGGUGUGGCUAGCAUCCCUUCAACUUUACGAGUGGCCUCUUAGCUAGCCUUCGCUUGUGAGCGAUGAAGUACAACAGGGCUUUUGCUUGUGCAGCGGUCUCUCGGCUGCUGGCUGCCAGUACUCGGCGGAAACGGCGUAAACAAGGGCGGAUCUGGCGCAUCUCUCACCCCUCCCCCAUCCCGUUUUGUGGGCACUCGUGGACGUGUUGGUGCAUGUGAAGUGAUGUCAGACUUCGUUCUUGUUGCUGCAAAUAAAAAGCACACAUAUUUUUUUUUAAAAGGCAGUCAGCGUGAAGGCGCGAGGCAACGGUGGCGGUAUGUCUGUGUGUGUGUGUGUCUGUAUGUGCCGCGUAUUGCGCACAUCUUCGUGUGUCACUAUAGUCCAUCUUGUGUUUCUCUUUUCCUGUUCUCUCGUCCGCCCUCUCUCACUCUCUUCUUACGCCCGUUGUCGUGGUCGUCUUGUCGGUGAUGCUGCCGUGUGCGCCUGUGUCUGUGGGUAUUUGAGCAGGAAAGGUGAAUAGAGGGAGUACGUAUGACUGCCUCAUUCUUUGUGGGCGCUGUGCAAGCUUCCCGAGCAGCUGUGUGUGUGUGUGGGUGAGUGGGUGUGGGUGUGGGUGUGGGUGUGCUUUCAUUUUUCUGUGUUGGUGGUGAGCGGGAAGGAGGGUUGUUGUUUCGUCAAGGAAGAGGAUAGCAUACGUAGCGACGACGGCGAUGAAGAUGAUGAUGCGGCGGACAAAACGCCCACAUGUGUCUGUGUGUGUGUGUGUUUCUGUGAGACGACGUGUUGAUGUGGUACCGUGUGCCUGCGUCUCUCCUCUUUUCAUUGCUUCAUCUUCCUUCCGGUGCUUUUUUCCUUCCAAGUAAGAACUCCAACACACACACACACAGAAAAAAG